CCUGGCUCAGGAUGACGCUGGCGGCGUGCUUAACACAUGCAAGUCGAACGAAGCCCUCGGGCUUAGUGGCGGACGGGUGAGUAACGCGUGAGAAUCUACCUUCUAGAUGGGGACAACCGUUGGAAACGACGGCUAAUCCCCAAUAAGCCGAGAGGUGAAACGGGUAUCCGCUAGAAGAGGAGCUCGCGUCCGAUUAGUUAGUUGGUGGGGUAAGAGCCUACCAAGGCAGCGAUCGGUAGCUGGUCUGAGAGGAUGAGCAGCCACACUGGGACUGAGACACGGCCCAGACUCCUACGGGAGGCAGCAGUGGGGAAUUUUCCGCAAUGGGCGAAAGCCUGACGGAGCAACGCCGCGUGUGGGAAGAAGGCUCUUGGGCUGUCAACCACUUUUCUCAGGGAAGAAGUCCUGACGGUACCUGAGGAAUCAGCCUCGGCUAACUCCGUGCCAGCAGCCGCGGUAAUACGGAGGAGGCAAGCGUUAUCCGGAAUUAUUGGGCGUAAAGCGUCCGCAGGGGGCGCAUCAAGUCUGCUGUUAAAGGUCGGAGCUAAACUCCGGUAGAGCAGUGGAAACUGGUGCGCUAGAGGGCGACAGGGGUAGAGGGAAUUCCCAGUGUAGCGGUGAAAUGCGUAGAGAUUGGGAAGAACACCGGUGGCGAAAGCGCUCUACUGGGUCGCACCUGACCCUCAGGGACGAAAGCUAAGGUAGCGAAAGGGAUUAGAUACCCCUGUAGUCUUAGCCGUCAACGAUGGAUACUAGGCGUGGUUUGUGUCGACCCAAGCCGUGCCGAAGCUAACGCGUUAAGUAUCCCGACUGGGGAGUACGCACGCAAGUGUGAAAUUCAAAGGAAUUGACGGGGGACCGGACAAGCGGUGGAGGAAGUGGUUAAUUCGAUGCAA
RNAcentral lists this ribosomal RNA (896 nucleotides) under uncultured organism. RNAcentral's name for it is "bacterial SSU rRNA". It matches the Rfam family "Bacterial small subunit ribosomal RNA", at positions 18 to 959 of the family's 1533-position model. The record is from RNAcentral.